GCUGGGCAUGGUGGUGCAUGCCUGUAAUCCCAGCUACUUGGGAGGCUGAGGCAGGAGAAUCACUUGAACCCAGGAGGUGGAGGUUUCGGUGAGCUGAGAUCUCUCCACUGCACUCCAGCCUGGGUGACAGAGGGAGACUCUGUCUCAA
Non-coding RNA from Pan troglodytes (chimpanzee), 148 nucleotides. It matches the Rfam family "Metazoan signal recognition particle RNA". Rfam says of the family: The signal recognition particle (SRP) is a universally conserved ribonucleoprotein. It is involved in the co-translational targeting of proteins to membranes. The eukaryotic SRP consists of a 300-nucleotide 7S RNA and six proteins: SRPs 72, 68, 54, 19, 14, and 9. The record is from Rfam. Lineage: Eukaryota; Metazoa; Chordata; Mammalia; Primates; Hominidae.